Lycium barbarum (goji berry) is the source of this 1638-nucleotide long non-coding RNA. RefSeq lists it as uncharacterized. The record is from RefSeq and is a predicted model, not a curated record. The transcript is spliced from 3 exons. NCBI's taxonomy places the organism in Eukaryota, Viridiplantae, Streptophyta, Magnoliopsida, Solanales, Solanaceae.
UUAAAGUAAAUUAUGGGAGGUCAAAAAUUAGGUGUCAACAUUAGGAAGAUCAUAGGGUUGGAUGGAUGUUUUCUGAAGGGUGUUUGUAAAGGAGAAUUGUUAGUGGCUGUUAGAACAAAAAGGAAACCAACAAAUGUAUCUAAUAGCUUGGGCAGUGGUUGACCAAGAAACUAAACACUCUUGGAGUUGGUUCUUAAACCAUCUCAUUCAAGAUUUGCAGCUUGGUGAUGGAGAUGGAAUAACAAUAAUGUUUGACAUGUAGAAGGGUCUUCAAUCACCUGUUCAGGAGUUACUUCCUAAUGCGGAAAGGAGAAUGUGUGCAAGACAUAUUUGGGCAAACUGGCAAAAGGAAUAGAGAGGUGAAGCAAGGAGAAGAGCCUUUUGGAGGUGUGCCAAGGCUAGUUUUGAGGUAAAUUGGCAGAGGAGUUUAAACAUUUGAGUCAACUUGGUAAAAACAUAUGUGAGUCAUUGGUUAUCUAUAACAAAGAAUAUUGGUGUAGGUCUUUGUUUAGUGAAAGAACCAAAUGUGAUGUGCUAGAAAAUAACACGUGUGAAACAUUUAAUUCUUGUAUUGUUGCUCCUAGACACAAAGCUAUGAUUAGUAUACUUGAAGAUAUUAGACAUAAAAUGAUGGAUAGGCAUGGAGGUAUGAUCAAGUUUGCUGAUACUUGGAUCACUGACAUUUCACCCAUGGCAAGGCUAGUUUUAGAAGAAAACAAAGAUAUAGGUAGGAAGCUAAAGGUAAAUUAGAACCAUGAAAGUGGUCUCAGGAAGGGCAAAUAGGCACAUAGUUGAUAUGGAUAGGAAGACAUGUAGUUGCAGGUUGUGGCAGUUGAGGGGUAUCCCUUGCCAGCAUGUAGUUUGUGCGUUGUACCAUAUUGGAGAAGAACCAGAAAAUUAUGUGGAGAAUUGGUAUAGAAGGGAAACAUUUCUUAAAGCUUAUAAGUACUUCUGACAGCCAAUCCCUAAUAUGAUAAUGUGGCCUCAAACAAACAACCCAAUAGUGGAGCCCCCUGAAGUGAAGCCAAUGCCUAGGAGACCCCCAAGAAGUAGAAGAAAAGACAAGGAUGAAUCAAGGAAAAAGAAAUGGUGAAAAGCAUCAAAAAAUGGAGUCAAGAUGACAUGUUCCAAAUGCCAUCAAGUUGGCCACAACAAAAAGGGUUGCAAAUCAAGACAUGAGAGACCAAGUGAAAGAGUUAUCUCAAGUGGGGCAGCAUUAAAUGAAGCAUCACUAACAAAUAUUGAUCUUGGAUUCAAGCCACCUGGAUUGAGGUGGAAAAAUAAAGAUGCCAUCACUGGGAACCAACUUGAAGUAAUGCAGCAGCGAAAGAAGUUGCAAAUCAGAUCCAAAGCUAAGAGUUUGGUGCCAUAAGAAUUCAAGUUCAAGUUCAUUUUAUGUAUUUUUUGUAAAUCCCAAGUUCAACAAUGCUUCUGGCAUUUAGACUUGCCUUUGGACUAUUUAACAAUUGCUCUUUUUGAUGUAUGCUUGGGUUAUUUUGAUGUAUUUUGCAUUUAGGCUACUUUCUUGGUGUUGGCUAGCCUUUUGGCUAUUUUGAUGUUUUGUGAAGCUUUUUGGCUAUUUAACAGUGUUUGGUGAAGCCUAGAUUGGCAGAUUUAUCAAGAUAAUUUUAUGCCUAC